AUACAGAAACGCUCAUCUGUAACGUUGACAAAAAAAGGACACUUUUUUUACUCACAGGUUGUUUUCUUUCUUUUCUUUUCUUUCAUCUCAUUGCGACCAGGCAAUUUUACCAUCUUAUCUGAAAGCGUGAAAACGGUUCAAAUCAAAACAAAAACACAGGCAGGUGCAGAACAGCUAAAGACGUCUGUAAUGACUACUGAAAAUGGGAACCGUGAGGCAUGUACUACCUGGGACUGAUGCCAACUGCUGACAAAAGGCUUCACUGCACGCUCUGAGAGAAGUCUUUAACUCGUUCUUUCUCCCCCCCCAAAUGCAUCAGAAAUCUACGGGAUUGAGUUGUUUUGAUGUCAUAAGUCUGGCAACACUUUUUGCCAUAGGUACAAGAACCGAUCUGGGCCAAAGUGGGCAGGGAGAGAGGAGGGCACGGCCGAGACUGCUCUCAAGCCCCAGCCCUUGUUCGAGUGGGGUUGCUCGCCAGCACGCUGCUCAGCCUUUCCCUCAUCUUGCAGACGAAAGAGAGGGACGUGGAAACGCGCUCUCCUCUCCUUUCUUCCCCGCCCUUUUUUCACCACCACCAUGGCCUGUUCACUUCGGGUCAUCUCUGCGGAGAUCCCUGCUCUGUCCUUUACAAAAUCUACUUCCAGGUAUUUCCAUUUUUGAUACUGCUUCUAUGCCAGGGCCCUGUGACUUUUCGUUUUUGAUCUACCUCUCCUUUACUCGUAUCUUUUAUAUUUUAUCCUUUGCACUUUUCCUAUUUUUCACCAUCAUCUUCCUCCUGUACACGUGUCUGCCUCGCCCCCGCCGCAAUGUUGAAAUCUUCGCCAUUACUGUAUGGUAG
Molecule: long non-coding RNA, 838 nt
Filed under: Salmo trutta (river trout)
Lineage: Eukaryota; Metazoa; Chordata; Actinopteri; Salmoniformes; Salmonidae
Description: lncRNA (ENSSTUG00000021206.1)
Source: RNAcentral